CAAAAAAUACCAAGACUGGAAACUCGGCGGUCAACUGACGUUUGCCUACAAGCUGCGUGGUGUGGUGAAUGUCGUGAACCUAUCGUUGUGUUCGUGUCCGAUGUGUGGUGAAUGUCGUGAAUCUAUAAAUGUGUGCGUGUUAACGUCAUUUAUCAACGUGGUGGCUUUCACAUAUAUUCACAGACAGCACUGUCCACAAAAGGGUUUUGGGGGGAAAGACGUACGAAAUUUUCCAGUCUUGGUAUUUUUUGUUUAUGCCCAAGGGGCUAAGGUGUUGUUGUAUUUAACAUGUAAAUUGCUUAGCCCAGACUGCGUUUUUUUUGUCUAGUUAAGACCGGUUGUAAUAAAAAACACACCUAUUAUAUCCUCUAAGCGAAAUUGGUGGGUUAAAUUCCUGAUCCUAGGCGGAACCACGUUUGUACAACUGGCCCUGGGAUUCAAUAAACCUCGCAACUUGUAGGCAAAAAUGAUUUGACAACUCAGUUUCAUUAUUUGGUAUAGUUUGUCUAUGGUUUCCAUUCUUGAUAUAGUUUGUAUAUGGCAGUUACCAGAUAGUUAUAUAUCUGUGGUGGAAAGCACAACGAAAAAUAUCUAUUUUCAUGUUCAUGAAUAAACCUCGAAUCAAAUCAACCUAAGUUUCCAGAAUUUAAACUAAUUGUUUCUGUGUUCUAUACCUAUGUUAUACCUAUGUUGCUAGAUAUGUCGACUACAAAUACAAAUGUUGAACAACAUAAAAUAUGGUGCACAUUGGCAAAUAAAAAACUCCAGUCAGUUUACAACCAGCUCUGCGAAUUCGAGACUUUGCUUUGUGAAGAACAAGCAGAAGGACCUCAACUCUUUGAGCUCUUAAAUACUUUAAAUGAGAUCUAUGACCAUCAUCAGUCUGUUUUGCAGACAAUUGAAUCGAGCAAGCAGUCCCUUCGUGAGAAAAGUAACGGCCUUCAAAUACAAAUUGAAGUUCUAAAGCGAUCAAUUGAUCUAAUGAAACUGGAAACAAAUUAAAGACGCCAAAAUAAAAUUGAAUUAUUAUAGUUUUCAUUGAGAUGAAGGAAA
Molecule: long non-coding RNA, 1053 nt
Organism: Episyrphus balteatus (marmalade hoverfly)
Lineage: Eukaryota; Metazoa; Arthropoda; Insecta; Diptera; Syrphidae
Exons: 2
Source: RefSeq, a predicted model, not a curated record